AACGCACCUUGCGCUCCUUGGUAUUCCGAGGAGCAUGCCUGUUUGAGUGUCAUGAAAUCCCUCGACCGCAAAGUUUAUGCUUUGUUCGGUUGGAUUUGGAGGCUUUGCCGAUGAUUAUUAUUAUCGGCUCCUCUGGAAUGCAUUAGCCUGGCUCGUUUGUUGCUGCAAAUACGGCGUGAUAAUUUAAUAGUAUCCUCCGACCGCUUGUAGCACACGAUAGCUCACGCUUCAAACGUUAACGUCUUUUCACAAAGGUGUUACUUCAUGAAUUUGACCUCAAAUCAGGUAGGACUACCCGCUGAACUUAA
Molecule: ribosomal RNA, 308 nt
Filed under: uncultured fungus
Lineage: Eukaryota; Fungi
Description: eukaryotic LSU rRNA
Rfam family: 5.8S ribosomal RNA (bases 1-52)
Source: RNAcentral